RNAcentral lists this ribosomal RNA (459 nucleotides) under uncultured bacterium. RNAcentral describes it as "SSU rRNA". It matches the Rfam family "Bacterial small subunit ribosomal RNA", at positions 26 to 518 of the family's 1533-position model. The record is from RNAcentral.
AGAAUCAACGCUGGCGGCGUGCCUAACACAUGCAAGUCGAACGAGAAAGUGGAGCAAUCCAUGAGUAAAGUGGCGCACGGGUGAGUAACACGUGACUAACCUACCCUGGAGUGGGGGAUAACUGAGGGAAACCUUAGCUAAUACCGCAUAAUACCUACGGGUCAAAGGAGCAAUUCGCUUCAGGAGGGGGUCGCGGCCGAUUAGUUAGUUGGCGGGGUAAUGGCCCACCAAGACAGUGAUCGGUAUCCGGCCUGAGAGGGCGCACGGACACACUGGAACUGAAACACGGUCCAGACUCCUACGGGAGGCAGCAGUGGGGAAUUUUGCGCAAUGGGGGAAACCCUGACGCAGCAACGCCGCGUGGAGGAUGAAGUCCCUCGGGACGUAAACUCCUUUCGAUCGGGACGAUUAUGACGGUACCGGAAGAGAAGCCCCGGCUAACUUCGCGCCAGCAGCCGC